CUACAGUGGAGCAUCCACAGAAAAAUGGCUUGGCUACGAUACUCCACUCGUGAAGACGCGUCGGGCGUUGGUCAGGCAGUCAUCAGUGACAGACUAAGAAGAGACGGAACUGCGGUCGUGCCAAGAAGGGCUGUGGGCAUGUGCAGCCCAUCCUCUGCACAAGAACAAGGCCAUAUAAAAAGUUUGUCAUCAGGAACAUUGUUGAGGCUGCUGCCAUCAAGGAUAUCUCAGAGGCUAGCGUGUUUGAAUCUGACAGACUGCAAAGAAGGAUCACGGCUGCAUUAUGUACUCUGAACGACUACAGCGGAGACAAUGAAAUAGAUGCUAUUCUCCCGUUCUGUACGAACGUUUAUUCAAACAAACUGAGAACCGAGGCUAUAACCGUCACAUCAACUCUCCCGGGAACCUCCCCCCACUUGCUCCAUAUUCCAGACCCAAACAAGCAACGCACAACUCAGGCGCGAGUGCAUCGCGCAGAAUCAUCCCAGCCCGAAAAGUGUUACUGGGCCGGCAACUUACUGCUUCAAGAAACGGAGCUACAUGGGCACAACUCCUACGAGACAUGCCCGGCAGAAUCUGGAAUGCUUGGUGAAAAAAGUCUAGAGCCCCCGGUUUCCACGAUUCGUCAAAAAGCCGAGACUCCUCCCCGGUGUAUAACAGCAUAUAAGACCAUACACAAUGAGAGCACGCGGAGGAUUUCGGCACACGGGACAUCCCCAAUAAAACACAGAAACCGGAUGAUUUCAAAGUUUUAAAUUACAUUUCAGAGGUAGACGACUUGAUGUUAUGUGAAGCGGCCAACCUUCUUGAUUCCUCCAAUUCUUUUGUAGAAACACCCGAGCUUGAAAUAGAACAAGCUAGGUUUCUCACAGCCUUUUCCAGGGCUCUAAAAUCCAGAAAGGUUUUGCUCCACAAACGAAUGGUGGCUUUACUCGAGCGGCAAUACAGUCAGGAUCUAUCCUUCUGGCAUCGAACAAUGCCACUUUUGUUAAACAGCAAUCCGAUUAAAAAACGCAAAUACAGGCGCUAAAAACCUAUGUAACAGAAUACCACAAGAACACACAUCAUUAAUUACCCAAAUGGAUGAGCCAACAGACAUAAUUGAGACAGUUGGAACCCUGUUAUCGCAGAUACCGCCCGAACUCCAAGCUUUAAUUAACCAGAUGAAUGAGGCUGAGGUAACAGACAUAAUUCCGAUAGAUGAAACCCUGUUAUCCCACAUUCCCGCCGAACUCAUAGAAUGAAUUAAUCAUAUGACUGAGUCCGGGACGACCGAUGAAAACCUGUUAUCCCAGAUCCCUGGCGCACUCAUAUCGUUAAUUAACCAGAUGAAUGAGAGCAUAAGAUCUUCUACACAGGACCCCACACAAACCUUGCCAUUAACUGCCAUGUCCGAAAGAGUCUGAAACGCAAUAAGAUAUUUUUGGGGAAUUGGAAAAUUGUCUAAUAAAUCAGGUGUGAGAUGGUCUUGAUAGAAGUGUCUGGGUUGUGUACCGAAAUAAAUUCAGCAAUACAGAGAUUCAACAGUUUUUCAAUUUCACAUGGCUGAAUCAGAAUCUUGACGAUGCAGUGUUUUAUGUGAUGAUAUUGGAUACUCUGAACGAACUGUUAGACAGGGCAAGAGAUUAUGGCGAACCUCGUGAUGUUUUACAGUUGGAAAUUUGUGGAGAUAGCAUGCAAAACACUGUAUCUCUUAUUUUACCAAAUGGCGAAGCAGAUCUUGAACAAUUCAUAGCCUUGCUGGAACGACUUGUUCAGUCAAAUUUAUCCGUCAUAGCCGAUAGGACCCUCGAGCUUGUAGUGCAAAUAAUACGUCAACCCAGUGUGGUGGGGGGCAGAGAAGGAAACUAGAUAGCCUCAUGCAAUCAGAAAUCAUAAGCAAUUAAAGGGCAUAUCUCAUAAACGUUCACAAUCCUGGUAAUAAGCUAUGCUUUGCAAUAGGCCAAGCACAUUUACUCAACCCGGGAUGUACGGAUCUAGCGGCGUUACACAAGGCUAGAGAGCUCCAAAUGGCCGUGGGUCUAGGUAUACAGGAUGCGGUGGCAUUCUCCGACAGUCAAAUUUGAAAACUUUCUGAACAUCAAGAUUGUGGUUUUGUACCACAGUAGAGCUAAUGCAGCUCUCUUGAAAUUUCAAAACAACCCACAACCUCAUCCUCAGAUUCUGUACUUUUAUGUGCAAAAUGACCAUUAUGCUAUUACCAACAUCACAGCGUUUUUAGGCGCACCAUAUGUGUGUCCAUCCUGCCAUACAGGAUACACCCGAAAGGGGGGGGCACUCGUGCCGUUAUAACUGUUCAGUAUGUCUGGAUGAAACAUGUCCGAUGCAGCCCUUAAACCUAACACCCUGUGCGGAUUGUCACCGCACAUGUCGUUCGGCCUACUGUUACGAAAAACACAAAAUUGAAACAUGGCACCCCAAGGCCUGUAAAUCUGUAAGCAGUUGUGACAUUAACAAGAAAUGUCCAAAAUGCCAUUGCAAUUACAACCUUAAAAUAGACAGCCCUAAACCUCAUGUGUGUGGAAUCAUACAUUGCCCAAUCUGUGAAGGGCCUUUGAAAAGCAGAGACGCAGAAGUGGUUCAAGAAGUGCCACACGAGUGUUAUAUUCAGCCCUUGGCUGAAGAUGAACAUUCAGAGAAAUAUGUUUUUUAUGAUUUUGAGACUAAUCAGCAAUCUGGGGUUCAUUAGCCUAUUUUUGUAUCCACCAUGACUUUCAAGGGUGAUAAGUGGUCGGCAGAGGGGCCCAAUUGUGCACUCCUCUUUCUAAAAUACUUUAGAAAACCCCAGUACAGAAACUUCACGUUUAUAGAGCACAAUUCUAGAGCCUAUGACUCCAACCUUCUUUUGAACCCCUUGAUACAGCAAGGCGUUGCACCCAGUGUCAUAGCUCAAGGUAGUAAAAUCUUGUGUUUUGUAGACCCCGCCUUCAACCAGAGAUACAUUGACAGUUUAAGCUUCGUACCCAUGAUAUUGGCUCAAAUGCCAGAGGCCUUGGGUUUUGAGAACUCUGUGAAAAGCUGGUUUCCCCAUUUCUUCACAUCUGAGGAGAAUCUACAUUAUAUUGGAGCUUAUCCCAGCACCGAAAUGUACGGGUGUGAUCAGAAGUCUCACAAAGAGUGAGAGAGAUUCAUGACAUGGUACAAGACAGUAUGUCACAGCAUUUUUGAUUUCCACAAAGAGAUGGAGUCGUACUGUGACAACGAUGUAGUUAUACUUCGUGAAGGAUGCCUGAGAUUCAGAGAAGAGGUAAUCAAAGAUGCAGGCAUUGACCCCUGGAGUUGUACAACUAUUGCAUCGGCAUGCAUGAAAACCUAUCGUACACACUUUCUACAUACAGCAUCUAUAGCUAUCCCCUCGCCUGACAACUAACGACGCCAAUUCAAGUCAUACUCUAGUGGGUCCAUUCAAUGGUUGGAGUACUUGGCCCAGGAUAAAGAAAUUCUUAUUCAACAUGCUUUGAAUAGGGGUGAGAAGACGUUUGGGCCUUAUGUAGAUGGAUACACACAGAUUGACGAUGUUGAGACCGUGUUUGAGUACAACGGUUGUUUCUUCCACGGUUGUAAAAUUUGCUUUGUGCCCCAGGCCAUGUGUGUCCUAACCCAAAAUACUUUUGGGGAAAUGUACCAAGAGUUUCAAGACAAAUUGGAAUCUUUACAGGCUACUUACGGGUUAAAAGUGAAUGUGAUGUGGGAGCAUGUAACGACUUUCCUCUUCUUCUGACGAGGAGUAAGAGAUAUCGGACCAAUUUGCAGCGUGGUAAGUGUCCAUUUUAAUAUGUAAAACUGAACACUACAAAAAUACAAAAUAACAAAGUGAAAGAACAAACGAAAAUCUAAACAGUCCCGUAUGGUGCAAACACAGACACAGGAAACAACCACCCACAAAACACAAAGAAAAACGGGCUACCUAAAUAUGGCUCCCAAUUAGAGACAACGACUGACACCUGCCUCUGAUUGGGAACCAUACUAGGCCAAACACAUAGAAAUAUAACCAAAGAACAAAACAUAGAAAAACAACAUAGAAUGCCCACCCCAACUCACGCUCUGACCAAACUAAAAUAAAGACAUAAAAAAGGAACUAAGGUCAGAACGUGACAGAGCAUGAGUGGACCGCACUCAAAAAGUCUGAUCCUCAUGUUCGAGCCUUCCUUUCCAGCUUUGACACACCAGAACCCUUGGAACCACGACAGGUCUUGUAUGGAGGCCAUACCAAUGCUUUGACAUUGAGGUAUGUAGCGCAACCCGACGAGACAAAAGGAUAUGUAGAUUUUAUAUCCCUUUAUCCUCAUGUAAUGAGUUCCUCAUGCUAUCCUCUGGGGCAUCCUGGAAUUAUUCACCGCGACUUUGACUUACCCCAAAAUUAUUUUGGUCUGAUCAAAGCAACUGUCUUUCCCCUUUGUGAAAACAACAACCAGGAAAAGCCUUGUGAUCACUCAGAUCAAGAAAGAGCCCUGACAGGUGUAUGGGUCACAGUUGAAUUCUCUAAGGCUCUAGAGAUGAGGUAUCGUGUGGCCAAAAUCUUUGAAGGGUGGAACUUUUCCAGGAAAUCAGACACUCUUUUUAAAGAGUACAUCAAGACUUUCUUGAGAUGCAAGAAGAAAAUAGCCGGACCAUUAGUUUGAACGCCAAUUACAUGGUUUUGUUCAAAAACCCUAGAGACAAACUACAAAUUUACACUCUAGCUCAGCAGAUAUACCCGGGAAGGAAAUCCUACUUUAUGGAGAGCUAUGAGGACGCUACUAAAGCGUCAUUUUCUUAUUUAAUCGUGGAUUUAAAAGCAAAUACUCCAGAACACCUGAGGCUCCGAACCGGCCUGUUCCCAUGGGAGUGGCCGGCUGCGUACAUUCCUAAAAUGUAACCGCUAUGUCUCUGCGUUUAAAAGAAACCUGCCCCUCUUGAGAAACCUAGUUGGGGCUACAGCUAAAGAACGGAACACUGUUCUUCAGAUCUCAUAUUAUCCCUAUGUGAGAUUGCUUUGAAUCUUCUCAAAAGACGCAUUCCACUCACCCUGACCCAAUUUAAAAAAUUAAUGAGACAAAAGACCGCGAUCAAACUCUUUGCCAAUAAAAGGGCCAGUCUUCAAAAGAAAAGACAUAGCAUACAACAGUCUGGGGGUUUUCUUCUGCCGUUGCUAACUAUAGCUGUGCCCUUCAUCACCAGCUUUAUUGCUGCCAGACGUGGGGGUUGAACACAGAGUGUGAUGGCAAAUAAAAUGUACUUGGUGCCUCAACAAGAGUUGGAUAGACUUAAAAAACAAAUUCAGGGUCCUGAAAAUAUCAGACAAACAGCGGAAAAUAAUUUGGUUACAGCCAUGAAGGAUAUUUUUAACCGAAAAGAAUUGAACCCCUAUGAUAAGGUCCAAAAAUACACAAACCUCUUGCAAAGGUAUUUGGCCUUGGUAAAACAAGGUGAGAGAGAGACCAACCAUUUAAUGCUUUCCCUACCGGACCCUUUAAAAGAUGACGCGCCUAGCGAGAGCCAAGCCCCUGUAAUGCCUGUACCUGCGAUCUUACCUGCUGAAGAUCAAAUGCCUGUUGAAGAUAAAGUUAUGCAUGACAUGUUGACACGUUCCGGCACGUAACCGGAAAAAUGUUAGAUACAUUAUGAACAAGAUAUAUGACUCAAAGGGGACCGCUACUUGGAAUGACAAAGGAGAGUUUAUCCUUCAGGGCGCUGUUGUCAAGGGUUCCCAUAUGCUCGACUUGCUUAAAAGUACCACGGCAGCCCACAAGGUUGCUGAUGACAGAAGACCUCCCGGGUGGCGUCCGUUUCUUAAGGCCCUGGCAAUCCUCAACAUUCCCCUCUCGGCGGCAGGGGCGAAAAUCUGAGAUCAACCUUGGAGGGGACAAUUACAUUAAAUUUUCUCAAGAGCAAUUCCUGAGGGGGACACCAAAAGUAGUGCUGUAACACAUAGCAUACGUUGUUAAAUGUAUAUUGAGGAACCAUAAUUCCUACAACUGGAUAAUUGAUAGGUACAGUAGUUAACUGAAGGGUUUUCCCAACUUGUUCAAAUGUUUAAAUCAUUAUAAUCCUACUACUAAUAAUAGUUAUAGCAGUGCUCCUUACCAGUCCAGUAUGUAUGCAGGUAUUCAUACUUACAACCAGCAAUAUCAAGAAAGGUCAGUAGGUGACAAUGGUACUGUACACUGUAUGGGUGUAGUUUUCAUAAAUACAAUGAACAUGGUGUGAUCACAUCUAAAAGAAUCUCCAUUGAGAACCAUCACAAAGUUGGUCUCCGUAUUGAAUUGACCUUUUAAUUUGACUUUUUCUGAUACAUUUAUAUAGUCAUUAAAUAUGUGCACCUGGCCUGAGUCUACAAUAUCUUUGCAAGAACAAAAAGCUUAAAAUAAGUACAGUUCUAAAAGCAAAAUAACUACUUCAAUGAAAAACCCAAAUAAAUCAAACAAAAUAUCCUUCAGUGUCUCAACUCUUCAAACAGCAGCUAUGGACAAGUAUGUCGCACAAAGUAUGCCAUUUUAAAUAAAAUAACAUGAAAUAAAUCAUUUGUAAGUGUACUGAAAACUACUAAACAAAAGAACAACUAUCAAUUACACCAUGGGUUCUCAAACAGGGGUCCAUGGACUAAUUGCAAGGGGUCCGUGAAAUAAAAAAGUGUAAUGAAUGUAGUCAGUACCACAAGGUUUCCAGUAAUUUUACAUAUAAUAUAGAGGGGGUGGAGGUCCCUGAGGACCGCUCAAAACCUUGCCUGCCUUGCCUCAAAAUAUGCAGGGGUUCCAGUACCCCAAAAAGGUUGAGAACCACUGCUAUACACACUACUGAACAAAAGAACCGAGCAUAUGUUUGCGGGUUUCCUCAACAACACAUCAGUUGGCACUUUCGCAAUGCCCUCGCCUGUUGUCUCCGACACCCUGUAUAGCCCAAUAAACUCCUUGUGAGGGACAUGGUCAUGGUCAACAUAACGCAGACAGACAUUCUCCUGUUCAGCACCAGAGACAUCUUGAGUACCAUCAACAAUUAAUGAAAAUUGUACAAUCGGAAGAGACCUAAUCUCAGCUGCAA
RNA transcript from Salvelinus fontinalis (brook trout), 7020 nucleotides. RefSeq lists it as uncharacterized. Lineage: Eukaryota; Metazoa; Chordata; Actinopteri; Salmoniformes; Salmonidae. The record is from RefSeq and is a predicted model, not a curated record. The transcript is spliced from 5 exons.